UCUGGGACGGAAGGAUUCGAACCUCCGAGUAACAGGACCAAAACCCGUUGCCUUACCACUUGGCCACGCCCCA
RNAcentral lists this transfer RNA (73 nucleotides) under Nymphaea colorata (pocket water lily). Its description in RNAcentral is "tRNA DDH69_mgt17". The record is from RNAcentral. Lineage: Eukaryota; Viridiplantae; Streptophyta; Magnoliopsida; Nymphaeales; Nymphaeaceae.